This 1072-nucleotide long non-coding RNA is filed under the name Homo sapiens (human). RNAcentral describes it as "HSALNT0147285". The record is from RNAcentral. Lineage: Eukaryota; Metazoa; Chordata; Mammalia; Primates; Hominidae.
CUUCUUAAUAAGAAAUGGCUUUACUAAUGGCACGUCCAGAUAACCUUUAGUUUCCAAUACUAUUAUUACAAAGGACUGCUCUCAAAUUUGAUUAUUUUAUGAAAAGUUUAAUAAUGCACAAUAAAUAGGUCCCCCCUUCACGUAGAUACUACCCACACAGCUUGUCUCUGCGAAUAUAAACGUAGUCCUUGUACAUACAUACAGACACAGCGACGCAUAUACCUACAGGAUGAUAUGCAGUUAUGUAUAUGUGUGUCAGUUGACAAAUCUAAGCCCUUGGAUUUAGAUUAAAAUGUUUCUACCUUCAGUCGUUUGCUCCAUUCUAUGCUAAAUCCUGUAGAAGGCUGGGAAGAACUGGGGACCUCAAGCCAAAGAAGUUUCUUGAUUAUAACUGACAGGCAGCGGAAUAUCAGUUUUAGGGAAUCAAAAGUUGAGUUGGAAGGCUGCUGGUUUGGAAACUAAGGUUGGUUCCAAGUGGUCCGACCUGAUUCCCAGGAUCUUUGUGAGAGCUGCUGGGAGAACUGAAAAUUAACAGCGAGGACACAGGACGCCCUAGGUUAUCUGCGUCUGUAAAGGAAGCCAGUAGUUGAUACUCCUCUCCGCGCCCCACGCGUGGCCGCGCUGUUCUAUCUCCGGCCACUGAGAUCAAAUACAACGCGAGUGAGAACAUUUGCAGAGGCGCGACUCUGGGAACACUCCUGCGACUGGCUGUCACCCGGGAGUCUAACCGGAUUAAUACUCAGAGAUGGAUUACGCUGGUUGUCACCAAUACGCCUAAAGAUUAUAAUCCAAUUUACGCACAUUACAGUCAGUAUUAACUUUAUCUGCUAUUUUAAGACUCCCGGUUGCCCCGCGCGUCCUCAGAGGACAAUCCUCCACGUUCUGAUGCAACUCAGUAGGCUGUCAGGAGGGGAAGCCCCCCGAAGAAAACAACUCCAAGCCUGGUCCCCGAGGGUCUGUACCCGGCACUCCCAGGUGUCUUGCUUUCACCUGGGCACCGCUUUAUGAAGCUUCCCAGCCGGGGAUUACCAAAGCGGAAGGCGUUCCCUUGCAAGGAAAUAGCAUCCUUGUU